RNAcentral lists this ribosomal RNA (1522 nucleotides) under Yersinia pestis. Its description in RNAcentral is "bacterial SSU rRNA". It matches the Rfam family "Bacterial small subunit ribosomal RNA". Lineage: Bacteria; Pseudomonadati; Pseudomonadota; Gammaproteobacteria; Enterobacterales; Yersiniaceae. The record is from RNAcentral.
AGAGUUUGAUCAUGGCUCAGAUUGAACGCUGGCGGCAGGCCUAACACAUGCAAGUCGAGCGGCAGCGGGAAGUAGUUUACUACUUUGCCGGCGAGCGGCGGACGGGUGAGUAAUGUCUGGGGAUCUGCCUGAUGGAGGGGGAUAACUACUGGAAACGGUAGCUAAUACCGCAUGACCUCGCAAGAGCAAAGUGGGGGACCUUAGGGCCUCACGCCAUCGGAUGAACCCAGAUGGGAUUAGCUAGUAGGUGGGGUAAUGGCUCACCUAGGCGACGAUCCCUAGCUGGUCUGAGAGGAUGACCAGCCACACUGGAACUGAGACACGGUCCAGACUCCUACGGGAGGCAGCAGUGGGGAAUAUUGCACAAUGGGCGCAAGCCUGAUGCAGCCAUGCCGCGUGUGUGAAGAAGGCCUUCGGGUUGUAAAGCACUUUCAGCGAGGAGGAAGGGGUUGAGUUUAAUACGCUCAAUCAUUGACGUUACUCGCAGAAGAAGCACCGGCUAACUCCGUGCCAGCAGCCGCGGUAAUACGGAGGGUGCAAGCGUUAAUCGGAAUUACUGGGCGUAAAGCGCACGCAGGCGGUUUGUUAAGUCAGAUGUGAAAUCCCCGCGCUUAACGUGGGAACUGCAUUUGAAACUGGCAAGCUAGAGUCUUGUAGAGGGGGGUAGAAUUCCAGGUGUAGCGGUGAAAUGCGUAGAGAUCUGGAGGAAUACCGGUGGCGAAGGCGGCCCCCUGGACAAAGACUGACGCUCAGGUGCGAAAGCGUGGGGAGCAAACAGGAUUAGAUACCCUGGUAGUCCACGCUGUAAACGAUGUCGACUUGGAGGUUGUGCCCUUGAGGCGUGGCUUCCGGAGCUAACGCGUUAAGUCGACCGCCUGGGGAGUACGGCCGCAAGGUUAAAACUCAAAUGAAUUGACGGGGCCCGCACAAGCGGUGGAGCAUGUGGUUUAAUUCGAUGCAACGCGAAGAACCUUACCUACUCUUGACAUCCACAGAAUUUGGCAGAGAUGCUAAAGUGCCUUCGGGAACUGUGAGACAGGUGCUGCAUGGCUGUCGUCAGCUCGUGUUGUGAAAUGUUGGGUUAAGUCCCGCAACGAGCGCAACCCUUAUCCUUUGUUGCCAGCACGUAAUGGUGGGAACUCAAGGGAGACUGCCGGUGACAAACCGGAGGAAGGUGGGGAUGACGUCAAGUCAUCAUGGCCCUUACGAGUAGGGCUACACACGUGCUACAAUGGCAGAUACAAAGUGAAGCGAACUCGCGAGAGUCAGCGGACCACAUAAAGUCUGUCGUAGUCCGGAUUGGAGUCUGCAACUCGACUCCAUGAAGUCGGAAUCGCUAGUAAUCGUAGAUCAGAAUGCUACGGUGAAUACGUUCCCGGGCCUUGUACACACCGCCCGUCACACCAUGGGAGUGGGUUGCAAAAGAAGUAGGUAGCUUAACCUUCGGGAGGGCGCUUACCACUUUGUGAUUCAUGACUGGGGUGAAGUCGUAACAAGGUAACCGUAGGGGAACCUGCGGUUG